GACGAACGCUGGCGGCGCGCUUAACACAUGCAAGUCGAGCGAUGAAACUUUAACAGAACCCUUCGGGGCGAAGAUAAAGUGGAUUUGCGGCGGACGGGUGAGUAACACGUGAGUAACCUGCCUUAGACAUUGGGAUAGCCUCGGGAAACCGGGAUUAAUACCAAAUAAAAUCAUAAUGACACAUGUCAUAACGAGCAAAACUCCGGUGGUCUAAGAUGGACUCGCGUCCCAUUAGCUAGUUGGUAGAGUAAAAGCCUACCAAGGCGACGAUGGGUAGCCGGACUGGGAGGGUGAACGGCCACAUUGAGACUGAGAAACGGUCCAAACUCCUACGAGAGGCAGCAGUGGGGAAUAUUGCACAGUGGGGGGGACGCUGAUGCAGCGACGCCGCGUGAACGAAGAAGGCUUUCGAGUCGUAAAGUUCUUUUAUAUGGGAAGAUAAGGACGGUACCAUAAGAAAAAGCCCCGGCUAACUACGU
Molecule: ribosomal RNA, 479 nt
Filed under: uncultured bacterium
Lineage: Bacteria
Description: partial 16S ribosomal RNA
Rfam family: Bacterial small subunit ribosomal RNA
Source: RNAcentral